UACGUAGGGGGCAAGCGUUGUCCGGAAUCAUUGGGCGUAAAGCGCGUGUAGGCGGCUCGGUAAGUCUGGUGUGAAACCUCGGGGCUCAACCCCGAGCCUGCACUGGAUACUGCCUCGCUCGAGUCCGGGAGGGGAGAGCGGAAUUCCUAGUGUAGCGGUGAAAUGCGCAGAUAUCAGGAGGAACACCGGUGGCGAAGGCGGGUCUCUGGGCAACAACUGACGCUGAGGAGCGAAAGCGUGGGGAGCGAACAGG
RNAcentral lists this ribosomal RNA (253 nucleotides) under uncultured bacterium. Its description in RNAcentral is "partial 16S ribosomal RNA". It matches the Rfam family "Bacterial small subunit ribosomal RNA", at positions 524 to 776 of the family's 1533-position model. The record is from RNAcentral.